GUACAAGACUUGAGAAAGGUCAACAAGAGGAUAGAAGAUAUUCAUCUGACUGUUCCAAACCCUUACAAUUUGCUCAGUAACUGUUCAUCGAUGAGAAACAGGGGUAUGCUAAAGGGGUCCUAACACAAAGGUUGGGACCCUGAAAACGCCCUGUGGCCUACCUGUCUAAGAAAUUGGACCCUGUGGCCUCCGGCUGGCCACCGUGCCUAAGGAUGGUGGCUGCUAUUGCUGUCCUGAUCAAGGACACUGGAAAAUUGACUUUGGGACAGCCACUCACCAUCCUAACACCCCACGCAGUGGAGGCCUUGGUAAAGCAGCCCCCAGACCGCUGGCUCUCUAAUUCUCGCACCAAGCCUUGUUUCUGGAUACAGAACGGGUUCAGUUUGGGCCCGUAGUCGCCCUCAAUCCUGCCACCUUGCUUCCUCUACCAGAGGAGGCAAAACAGCAUGACUGCCUACAAAUCCUCGCAGAAGUACAUGGAACCAGGCCGGACCUAUCGGACCAGCCUCUUCAGAAUGCUGACCACACAUGGUACACGGAUGACAACAGCUUCUUGGCAGAGGGAGAGUGAAAGGCUGGAGCUGCGGUCACUACGGAGGACAAAGUGAUUUGGGCGAAAGCCCU
This 624-nucleotide long non-coding RNA is filed under the name Rattus norvegicus (Norway rat). RNAcentral's name for it is "long non-coding RNA NONRATT010383". Lineage: Eukaryota; Metazoa; Chordata; Mammalia; Rodentia; Muridae. The record is from RNAcentral.